This 24-nucleotide non-coding RNA is filed under the name Rattus norvegicus (Norway rat). The record is from RNAcentral. Lineage: Eukaryota; Metazoa; Chordata; Mammalia; Rodentia; Muridae.
UAAGGGCAUCUGUCAUAGUGAAAA